AUUUCAAGAAUAAUGUUAUCUAUACACCUCAAAGAUUUAUUUAGGUGUAAGUUUUACAUCCUACUUGCAAAUGGUUAGAAUUAUUCCACUGGUCUUAGCAUUUUUUUAGCUUAGAACUAAAAAAAAAUUUCAAAAUCCUAAGAUGGAAAUGUUGAGAAAUCACAACCAGCUCCAAUACCAGUUGUAAAUUCGAUACUCUGUCUCGAUACUGAUUGUUGGAAUUCCAUAAUAAAAACGUACAAUCAAAUAUUUAUUAUUGUUGGCACAAAAAAAAUAGUGCCACGUGGUAGAUG
Molecule: long non-coding RNA, 293 nt
Filed under: Ananas comosus (pineapple)
Lineage: Eukaryota; Viridiplantae; Streptophyta; Magnoliopsida; Poales; Bromeliaceae
Description: long non-coding RNA (ACOM_LNC022343)
Source: RNAcentral